This 468-nucleotide ribosomal RNA is filed under the name uncultured bacterium. RNAcentral describes it as "partial 16S ribosomal RNA". It matches the Rfam family "Bacterial small subunit ribosomal RNA", at positions 28 to 507 of the family's 1533-position model. The record is from RNAcentral.
GACGAACGCUGGCGGCGUGCUUAACACAUGCAAGUCGAACGGAAAGGCCCUGCUUUUGUGGGGUGCUCGCGUGGCGAACGGGUGAGUAACACGUGAGUAACCUGCCCUUGACUUUGUGAUAACUUCAGGAAACUGGGGCUAAUACCGGCUAGGAGCUCCUGCUGCAUGGUGGGGUUUGGACAGUUUCGGCGGUUGGGGAUGGACUCGCGGGUUAUCAGCUUGUUGGUGGGGUAGUGGCUUACCAAGGCUUUGACGGAUAGCCGGCCUGAGAGGGUGACCGGCGACAUGGGGACUGAGAGACGGCCCAGAGUCGUACGGGGGGCAGCAGUGGGGAAUAUUGCACAAUGGGCGGAAGCCUGAUGCAGAAACGCCGCGUGCGGGAUGACGGCCUUCUGGUGGUAAACCGCUUUCGCCUGUGACGAAGCGUGAGUGACGGUAAUAAGUAAAGAAGCACCGGCUAACUACGUG